Molecule: long non-coding RNA, 2552 nt
Organism: Lytechinus pictus (painted urchin)
Lineage: Eukaryota; Metazoa; Echinodermata; Echinoidea; Temnopleuroida; Toxopneustidae
Exons: 3
Source: RefSeq, a predicted model, not a curated record
GUGAAAAUAAACGAAUACGCUUUAUCACUCAAGAGUUUUUUCACGAAGUGACGGAAGGCAAAUUUUUACAGUUUGGAACAGCCGAAGACCAUGAAAUGAUGCAGUAUAUACAGUAAGCAAUGUUUCAGAGAACAAUGAGAGAAGUCCUGGAACCAAUACACUCGCUAUUUAACAAUAAAAUUCCAGGUUGUAUCCAGGAGCCAACAUGCUUGUCAGGUGGGUCAUUGAUAAUUCCCUGAGCACCGCAGAUGUGAUCUGAUUUGGUGACAUGACAGUUGAAUUGGUAGUGACUGGAUUUUAACAGUGUGCCCUGGUUUUGAAUUGUUGAAGUAACCAAACUAAAACAUCUUCUGAGAACUCUGACUGCGAUUCUGAUGAUGAAACUCUGUCUACACUUGUGAAAAGUAUGAAGGAAUUGGCUCUGCCUCAUGGCCUUUUAAGGCUCUCACUUAACUUUUUCUUUAGUUUCCAGCUGGGUAACUGAUGCCAGUUUUAACUUUCUUGUGACUUUGACUUCAACAUAAGUUUAGUUUUAAUUUUGAUAGGAUUUUCAAAUCUGGUUUAAUUUUUAGAGCAGUGUAUUACAUAAAGAAACCAUGUUGCUUGAACUAGUCUGUGCUCUUACAGUGAUAUAAUUAUGAACUCCUUCAAAUAUGUUUUAUAUAUACAGUCAAAUAUAAAGUUCAGAAUAGUCAUUUAUCUGCUAUCCUUACCACAUGCUUAAAUUGCUUAUAAAAUACACAUCGUCCGCAUAUGGAUGCAGAAGAAUUACCCUUCUUUAUUAAUUUUGUUUGGCAUGUUUUCAUUUUGCUUGGUGCCAUCUAAAAAAAAAAAUCCUGCAUAUAGAUAUCUACAUUUUUGUAAAACAGAAUGUUACUAGCUUUAUUGUGCUUAAAUGUAUUGUAUUAAUACUUCAUACUUUCUUAUAAAAACAUAACCAUACAAUUUAGACUGACAUGCAUUGUGAAACUCGAUUGUUACAGGAUAUAUUAUAAGUAAGGGUGGAAAUCAUAUUAAGUUUUUCAUGAAUUCAUUUCAAAAGCCAGAUGUGUUAAUACAGACCCCCCCCCUUCCAUGAGGUAAUUUUUUUGGGUCUAUCAGGGGUGUGAGAAUUCUUAAGCUGAUUUCUGCUAUUUUUGUUUUUUAUUUUCAGCUUGAUAUCCCUUUUUGUGUACAAUAGUUUGAGGGCUCAUUCAAUUUCAUCCCCUAAAACUCUUCAGCAUUUUCAGCUCUUUAUCUUUCAUUCACACCUGGUUUAUGCAGUUUUACAGUUGAUGUGUCAUCAUUUUAUUCUAGAAUUUUCUAAUGAAUGCUAUUCAGGAAAGAAAUAAUACAUGAUUAUUUUUAGCAGACAUUUUACAUUAGCUUGAGGUUAAAGAUACACUGCAGCACAUGUUUUUCUGUAUAUUUGUAGUAAGAAUUCAACUCAUUUGUACAUGAUCCCACUAAUUCAAAGAUGUUACUUGCUGACAAUUUAUUGUAAAGUUUUCAGAGUUGGAACUAAAGUGUAUUUUAAUGUAUCUUUCUGUUUUUGGACUCGGGCAAUAAUUUGCUAUUAAAAAAACAAGUGUUUGAUUGGAAAAUGUAUUGAUGAGUGUAUUUAGCCAAUAACUUGAGAAUGAUGGAAAAAAUACAAAUCUACUUAGUCAUUCGUAUUUUUAUUACUGCAUUUUUUUUGUUGCUUUUGACGCUGUCGUUCGGGAUUUCGAUUAUAAAUUUGUUAAUAAAUGAUCCUGUUUGAUAUGUAGUUAAAUAAUUGAUUUAAAAUUAUAUUUCCUUGUUUGAGUUUCAUUAGUUGAUACAUGUAAUUGUUUAUUCAAAGGUUUACAUGUUUCCUUUGGUAAAGAUUAUCUUUUAGCACUUUUUAGUACUUGACAGUGUGUAAAAAGAUGAAACAACUCUCAAGGCAACUGUGUCGACUGAUUUAAUUAUGACAUUCUUUUAAAAAAAGUGUAGUGAAUGUAAUAAGUAAUGGUGAAUAUGUUACUUCUAUUUUGAUGGAAAAGAAAUAUACCAUUUUACUUGAAUAUGUGUAUGUCAAUACAAAUAGACAUAGAGAAUACAACUUUCCUGCACCACUAGCAUUGAUUAUAUUCCAGUAUUCCUGUGAUGGAAAAUUUAUUCAUUUGACAUUGGAAUGUUUUGAAUGUAGAGUAACUUAUUGAAUUUGGUACUAGUUAGCAAUUCUGUAUUUCAAAAUGUGGCAUUCACAGACUAGGAUUGCUGAUUGUGUUAAGCAUAUAAAAUGACAAAAUUCUGUCAAUGUGUACCUGAUAAUUCACUUCGUAUACAUUUCACAGUGCAAUAUUAGAUCCAUUAUAAUAAUUAUGAAUGUCGUUGUGUUUGUCACUAGCGAUUAUGGUCUGAUAUAUUAUUGAAUUAAAAAUAUAUUUCCAUUGUUAACAUUGUAUGGAAUUGAUAUUUUAAUGAAUGUAUUAAGCAUAACCAUUAUCAUAAUGAUUGACAUGAAAAAAAGUUAUAUUUUACUUGUCUAUUUGUCACUUGCUGCUAUGGUUUCAUAUGUUAUAAAAUUAAAAGAGUUCUUCUAAAUC